RNAcentral lists this ribosomal RNA (111 nucleotides) under Pteropus alecto (black flying fox). Lineage: Eukaryota; Metazoa; Chordata; Mammalia; Chiroptera; Pteropodidae. The record is from RNAcentral.
GUCUACGGCCAUGCCACCCUGAACAAGCCCAAUGUCUGAUCUCGGAAGCAAGGUUGGACCUGGUUAGUACUUGGAUGGGAGACCACCUAGGAAGAAUAGGUGCUAUAGCCA